This 1826-nucleotide long non-coding RNA is filed under the name Cinara cedri. The record is from RNAcentral. Lineage: Eukaryota; Metazoa; Arthropoda; Insecta; Hemiptera; Aphididae.
UAAAAUUUUGCGGAGCAUGUCAAACACAAACGUCAUCUAACCGAAAAGUGCUUGUAGGUAAACCGUUUAAUCAUUCAGAAUGAAUAUCAUAGUAAAUUAAUUUCAUAUGCAUUAAACAUUUUCUUUUAUAAUAUUUGUUUAAUUUUAUAUCAAUUUACCCGUUCUCUCGGUUUUUCCUAUUUAUAAGUGUACAUGCGUUAAUCAAGACUUGGAGACAACAAAAUGAUUGUAGCUCACUUUUUACCUAAUCAAAUUUAUUUUAAUACUAAAAUAAUACUAUUAACAAAAGUAAUUUUAUUACUUAUUACUAAUAGUANUAACAUUUACUACCUCCUAAUUAUAGUCAUAUCAAAAUAACAAAUCGUACAAGUAGUAAUUGGCACAUAAUAGGUAUGUAGGCAUCUAUAUUAUAUUAUUCACGACUAAUAUCAUACGUAAAUAUUUUAUAAAACUAUGGUAUGCAAUUAUAUCAAUAAAUAUAAAUAAAUCAUCAUUUAUCUUUUAUAGUAAACAAAAAAGGGUAAAUUUCCGUAAUUUUAGUAAUUUUCGAAUUAUAAUACCCACGAAAAACCAAACUGAUUUUGUCUAAUUAAAAUCAACUUUUGUUGAAUAGGUGAUUUACAAAUUUGGCGACCUCUAGCAAGAACAUUUGGAUAAUCAGUCGACUACUGCCAUAACGUAACGUUUAGAAAAUUUUACUGUUAUCAAGAAUCAUACAUAUUUCCGACAAAUUGAUUUAUAAAACCAAAACUUUCAACUGAAAUAUUUAAGAUAAGGGCAAAAAACUUAACUUUGUGUCUUCUUUAAAUAUCGUAUCAUUUGCGUAUCUAUAUCUGAUUAAUUGAAAACAUGCCAUUAAAAUUUACCGCUGGUUAUGUUAUUAUCUAUUCUUUUAUGUUAGUGUUAGUACACGGUGACGGUGGAGGUACUCCUAAUGACCUACCUAUCGCUAAUAACCCUAACCCGCCACCUGAUAAUGCACCCCCAGCUGAUUGCCCCCCACCUUGUAAGAGAGACUUUCUUUGGAUCCAAAAUGUGUGUAAAAGAGGUGUACGUGAAUAUAGUCCCACUGUAUAUAAUUGUUUUUGUUGUAAGUGACGAUUUCAAUUAUUAAAGGCCCAAUUGCCAUUUAUUAUGCAAAUUCAAUAAUAAUGUUAAGUAUUCCAAAAGAUCUUUCCAUAAUUUAUUCUUAUAAAGAAGCACACUCACAAAUUGAGGCACUGCAAACAAUUAAAUUAAUUUACACCUACUCACUACAAAAUAAAUUGGGAUGACAUAAAGUGCAUAUAUCCUAAUAAUUAUAUAGUAUAAUAACUUUGCUGUGUUAACUAUAUAAUAACGUUAUUUUUGCAUAUUUAAAAAAUAAAACAUUAAAUGUCAACUUUUGUCCGUACAGUAUUUUUGUAAUACAUUUAUCAUAAGUGAUAAAAUAAAAUAGUUUUUAAAUACAGUUUAUUUGUUGUAUUGAUUUCAUGAGACAUUACUUACACAUCAUAUUACCUAUGAAGUUCCUGCGGACCGUAGUUAUUGCUUUGUGAUAUUGAAAACCACAACUCCAAUAUUAAGACAAAACAAUUACUUUCAUUGCAUUUUUUUAAAAUAAAAUACGUUCUUUAUAUUUAACAUAAUACGAGUCGUAGGGAAAUUAAUUUAAAUUAAAAAAAACUUAUUUUAAACGGUAAUUCUUUUAGAAAUGUUUACGUAAAGAACAAAAUAUGUUCCUUAAUAUAGUGUAAUUCUUAAACAAAUCAUUGUUGUGAAAUCAUUAUAUUCGACUGAACAUGACUUAGACUUCGAUUGUUCGUCAGCGAUGGUAACCAUCAAUU